Prionailurus viverrinus (fishing cat) is the source of this 364-nucleotide long non-coding RNA. RefSeq lists it as uncharacterized. Lineage: Eukaryota; Metazoa; Chordata; Mammalia; Carnivora; Felidae. The transcript is spliced from 3 exons. The record is from RefSeq and is a predicted model, not a curated record.
UGCCUCUCGGACUUCACUUAACUCCAUUUUGAAAGGGACAAACAAAGUCAUCUCUGCUUCUGGAACCAACUGAAUGACAAGAUUUCUUAAAAAAAUAAAUAGUGUUUGCCAUUGAUAACCCUCAUAUACUAGACUACAGACUUUAGUGAUAAACAUGUCAGGAGCAGCUGUGGGUGUAGCAACAUACGCUGGAGGACGAGUGGGAAGAAAUGCACUCUGUUUUUGCUGUGUGAUUUGAGGUCACCAGGCUAAGGGGAAUACCACCUUACUUGACAGAGGGAACUGUGCAUCACCCAGAGAUCCUAGACUCAAAGCAGUAGCUGGGGAAGACUUUGGGUUGUGUCCACUGGAGAAGGGAGUGUGU